AUGAUCUACUAACUCCAUUGGAGGACAACGAUUUGGAUGAAGCUGUGACUCAAAUUCGGCGGCAACAUCCCAACACUGGAUUCAAGAUGAUGGUUGGGCAUUUGAAUGCACAAGGCAUACGUAUACAAAGACAGCGUGUCCAGGAAUCCAUGCGGCGUGUGGACCCUGGUGGGAUUUUGGUGCGCACCCUUCAGCUGAACCCAAGAAGACGCCGGAGGUACUCUGUACCAGCCCCAAACAGUCUUUGGCACAUUGACGGAAAUCAUAAACUGAUAAGAUGGCGUAUUGUUGUGCAUGGUGGUAUUGACGGCUUUAGUCGUUUAAUCGUGUUCUUGAGUGCCGCCACCAACAACCGAG
This is a long non-coding RNA of Pseudoliparis swirei, 357 nucleotides long. RefSeq lists it as uncharacterized. The record is from RefSeq and is a predicted model, not a curated record. The transcript is spliced from 3 exons. NCBI's taxonomy places the organism in Eukaryota, Metazoa, Chordata, Actinopteri, Perciformes, Liparidae.